AUAGCUUCUCGUUACUAGUCGGCAUAGCCCUUGGCUCUUUGACAAAUUGGCUGUUUCCCUCCAUCUUCUGCGUUAGGGAAGACAUUACGCCAGUCACAACUAUAUAUUGACUGGGUUUGCAGAAUGCUUAGUACCUCACACAACGAUCCCUUUUUUUGACACUGACGGGCUUUCUUCAGUGGGGAAUUCAUCAGAGUUGUAAUUAAUGGUCGCAUGCCUUUCCAUCCAGAGCAAACUCAGCCAGGAGGGUAGAACAAGGUGCGAGGAAGAUGAAAAGCUAACAUCAUAUAAGACUCUAAGCACGUGUGAAAGCGGGAAGUGACCGAGCAUCCAAGCUG
Molecule: small RNA, 338 nt
Filed under: Histoplasma capsulatum
Lineage: Eukaryota; Fungi; Ascomycota; Eurotiomycetes; Onygenales; Ajellomycetaceae
Also listed under: 1 other name
Description: hypothetical RNA
Source: RNAcentral